Molecule: ribosomal RNA, 873 nt
Filed under: uncultured archaeon
Lineage: Archaea
Description: bacterial SSU rRNA
Rfam family: Archaeal small subunit ribosomal RNA
Source: RNAcentral
UUCCGGUUGAUCCUGCCGGACCUGACUGCUAUCGGAUUGAUACUAAGCCAUGCGAGUCAUUGUAGCAAUACAAGGCAGACGGCUCAGUAACGCGUAGUCAAUCUACCCUAUGGACGGGAAUAACCUCGGGAAACUGAGAAUAAUGCCCGAUAGAACAUUAUGCCUGGAAUGGUUUAUGUUUCAAAUGAUUUAUCGCCAUAGGAUGGGACUGCGGCCUAUCAGUUUGUUGGUGAGGUAAUGGCCCACCAAGACUAUUACAGGUACGGGCUCUGAGAGGAGUAGCCCGGAGAUGGGUACUGAGACACGGACCCAGGCCCUAUGGGGCGCAGCAGGCGAGAAAACUUUGCAAUGUGCGAAAGCACGACAAGGUUAAUCCGAGUGGUUUCUGCUAAAGAAACCUUUUGUCAGUCCUAGAAACACUAACGAAUAAGGGGUGGGCAAGUUCUGGUGUCAGCCGCCGCGGUAAAACCAGCACCUCAAGUGGUCAGGAUGAUUAUUGGGCCUAAAGCAUCCGUAGCUCGUUUUGUAAGUUUUCGGUUAAAUCCAUGCGCUUAACGUAUGGGCUGCCGGGAAUACUGCAUAACUAGGAAGUGGGAGAGGUAGACGGUACUCGGUAGGAAGGGGUAAAAUCCUUUGAUCUAUUGAUGACCACCUGUGGCGAAGGCGGUCUACCAGAACACGUUCGACGGUGAGGGAUGAAAGCUGGGGGAGCAAACCGGAUUAGAUACCCGGGUAGUCCCAGCUGUAAACUAUGCGAACUCAGUGAUGCAUUGGCUUAUGGCCAAUGCAGUGCUGCAGGGAAGCCGUUAAGUUUGCCGCCUGGGAAGUACGUACGCAAGUAUGAAACUUAAAGGAUUGGCGGGGGAGCACCAC